GCCCUGGUAGUGUAGCCCGGCCUAUCAUGCAACCCUGUCACGGUUGCGACCCGAGUUCAAAUCUCGGCCAGGGC
This 74-nucleotide transfer RNA is filed under the name Nanobdellota archaeon. Its description in RNAcentral is "tRNA-Asp". It matches the Rfam family "tRNA". Rfam says of the family: Transfer RNA (tRNA) molecules are approximately 80 nucleotides in length. Their secondary structure includes four short double-helical elements and three loops (D, anti-codon, and T loops). The record is from RNAcentral. Lineage: Archaea; Nanobdellati; Nanobdellota.